AUGAACGCUGGCGGCGUGCCUAAUACAUGCAAGUCGCGCGAACAGAUAAGGAGCUUGCUCCUUUGACGUUAGCGGCGGACGGGUGAGUAACACGUGGGUAACCUACCUAUAAGACUGGAAUAACUCCGGGAAACCGGGGCUAAUGCCGGAUAACAUUUAGAACCGCAUGGUUCUAAAGUGAAAGAUGGUUUUACUAUCACUUAUAGAUGGACCCGCGCCGUAUUAGCUAGUUGGUAAGGUAACGGCUUACCAAGGCAACGAUACGUAGCCGACCUGAGAGGGUGAUCGGCCACACUGGAACUGAGACACAGUCCAGACUCCUACGGGAGGCAGCAGUAGGGAAUCUUCCGCAAUGGGCGAAAGCCUGACGGAGCAACGCCGCGUGAGUGAUGAAGGUCUUCGGAUCGUAAAACUCUGUUAUUAGGGAAGAACAAAUGUGUAAGUAACUGUGCACGUCUUGACGGUACCUAAUCAGAAAGCCACGGCUAACUACGUG
RNAcentral lists this ribosomal RNA (496 nucleotides) under uncultured bacterium. RNAcentral's name for it is "partial 16S ribosomal RNA". It matches the Rfam family "Bacterial small subunit ribosomal RNA", at positions 29 to 507 of the family's 1533-position model. The record is from RNAcentral.